AACAAGCAGAAAGGAGGUGCUCUAGUGUCUAUUGAGGUAUUGGAGAAAGGGUUCGGAACAGUCUGGAGGGUGAACGUCUGAGGCAGCCCUCGGGCGUUGAAACUCCGGGUUGGUUCGCCUAACCGAACCACCUCCUGAUCUCGAGAGGGCCGUUCCUGCCGAAGGAGCGGCCC
Molecule: unclassified non-coding RNA, 173 nt
Filed under: Pseudooceanicola marinus
Lineage: Bacteria; Pseudomonadati; Pseudomonadota; Alphaproteobacteria; Rhodobacterales; Paracoccaceae
Description: CC2171
Source: RNAcentral